UGGUCUUGUUUCCACUGCUGUUUGAACAGAAGAUCACUGAUUUUCAGGAAAUCUGAGCCGUGCGUUCAGUGGUGGCAUUGAAGAUGCCGUUCCUCCUGCCGCUCCUUGCCCUCCUCCUCCUGUCCGCCGCUCCCACAGUAACUGAAGUGGUGACAUCGAUGUCGGACUGUGCCGAUAACUUUCUUAACCAAGCUCCACCACAGAUCGGGGGAAUCUUGGAGGGAGGGAACAUCCUGGACCAGAAUAUAUACAAGCCCAUUUGCCAGACCUUGAAUAACAAGAGAACAUUUGUGACACUCUACGACACAACCAACAAGAUCCCAGUGUUCUCUGCUUACAAGUACCCUGGAAAAGAAACUCCGUGGAAGAUAGAACCACAGCUUGAGGGAAUAACCUUGAAUAAAAACAUGGAGAUUGAAGACGACAGCAAGUGCUACAUUGACCAGGCCAAUACGAGAGAUUACAGUAACAGCCCAGUAUACGACAGAGGGCAUUUAUUACCACACUCCUAUGGUUUUACCAGUAAUGACAAAAAAUCUACCUUUGCC
Limanda limanda (common dab) is the source of this 548-nucleotide long non-coding RNA. RefSeq lists it as uncharacterized. The transcript has 3 exons. The record is from RefSeq and is a predicted model, not a curated record. Lineage: Eukaryota; Metazoa; Chordata; Actinopteri; Pleuronectiformes; Pleuronectidae.